This 607-nucleotide ribosomal RNA is filed under the name uncultured Gammaproteobacteria bacterium. RNAcentral's name for it is "bacterial SSU rRNA". It matches the Rfam family "Bacterial small subunit ribosomal RNA", at positions 284 to 915 of the family's 1533-position model. The record is from RNAcentral. Lineage: Bacteria; Pseudomonadati; Pseudomonadota; Gammaproteobacteria.
CCGAUUUUACCGUCAACCCCCAGUCUGCUGCCUCCCGUAGGAGUACUCCUACGGGAGGCAGCAGUGGGGAAUUUUGCACAAUGGGCGAAAGCCUGAUGCAGCAACGCCGCGUGGAGGAUGAAGGCCUUCGGGUCGUAAACUUCUUUCGACCGGGACGAUGAUGACGGUACCGGAUGAAGAAGCACCGGCUAACUCUGUGCCAGCAGCCGCGGUAAUACAGAGGGUGCUAGCGUUAAUCGGAAUUACUGGGCGUAAAGCGCACGUAGGUGGUUUUAUAAGUCGGAUGUGAAAGCCCCGGGCUUAACCUGGGAAUUGCAUCCGAGACUGUCUGACUCGAGUAUGCUAGAGGGAAGUGGAAUUCCAGGUGUAGCGGUGAAAUGCGUAGAGAUGCGGCGGAACACCGAUGGCGAAGGCAGCCCCCUGGGCUGAGAUUGACGCUCAGGCACGAAAGCGUGGGGAGCAAACAGGAUUAGAUACCCUGGUAGUCCACGCUGUAAACGAUGCGUGCUAGACGUUGGGGAGCCUAGCUCUUCGGUGUCGCAGCUAACGCGGUAAGCACACCGCCUGGGGAGUACGGCCGCAAGGUUAAAACUUAAAGGAAUUGACG